Molecule: ribosomal RNA, 2895 nt
Filed under: Xanthomonas vasicola pv. vasculorum NCPPB 895
Lineage: Bacteria; Pseudomonadati; Pseudomonadota; Gammaproteobacteria; Lysobacterales; Lysobacteraceae
Description: bacterial LSU rRNA
Rfam family: Bacterial large subunit ribosomal RNA
Source: RNAcentral
GUUAUAUGGUCAAGCGAAUAAGCGCACACGGUGGAUGCCUAGGCGGUCAGAGGCGAUGAAGGACGUGGUAGCCUGCGAAAAGUGUCGGGGAGCUGGCAACAAGCUUUGAUCCGGCAAUAUCCGAAUGGGGAAACCCACUGCUUCGGCAGUAUCCUGCAGUGAAUUCAUAGCUGCUGGAAGCAAACCCGGUGAACUGAAAUAUCUAAGUAACCGGAGGAAAAGAAAUCAACCGAGAUUCCCUAAGUAGUGACGAGCGAACGGGGAGCAGCCCUUAAGCUGGAAUGGCUUUAGAAAAACAAUCUGGAAAGAUUGGCCAUAGAAGGUGAUAGCCCUGUAUUUAAAAGGGCCACUCCAGUGAAGACGAGUAGGGCGGGGCACGUGAAACCCUGUCUGAAUAUGGGGGGACCAUCCUCCAAGGCUAAAUACUCCUGACCGACCGAUAGUGAACCAGUACCGUGAGGGAAAGGCGAAAAGAACCCCGGAGAGGGGAGUGAAAUAGAUCCUGAAACCGUGUGCGUACAAGCAGUAGGAGCUCGCAAGAGUGACUGCGUACCUUUUGUAUAAUGGGUCAGCGACUUACUGUUCGUGGCAAGCUUAACCGUAUAGGGGAGGCGAAGGGAAACCGAGUCUGAUAAGGGCGCAUAGUCGCGGGCAGUAGACCCGAAACCGGGUGAUCUAGUCAUGGCCAGGGUGAAGGUGCCGUAACAGGUACUGGAGGCCCGAACCCACGUCUGUUGCAAAAGACGGGGAUGAGCUGUGAUUAGGAGUGAAAAGCUAAUCGAACCCGGAGAUAGCUGGUUCUCCUCGAAAGCUAUUUAGGUAGCGCCUCGGACGAAUACUACUGGGGGUAGAGCACUGUUAUGGCUAGGGGGUCAUCGCGACUUACCAAACCAUUGCAAACUCCGAAUACCAGUACGUACUAUCCGGGAGACACACGGCGGGUGCUAACGUCCGUCGUGAAAAGGGAAACAACCCAGACCCACAGCUAAGGUCCCAAAUUCACUGCUAAGUGGAAAACGAUGUGGAAAGGCAUAGACAGCCAGGAGGUUGGCUUAGAAGCAGCCACCCUUUAAAGAAAGCGUAAUAGCUCACUGGUCGAGUCGGUCUGCGCGGAAGAUUUAACGGGGCUAAGCAGUGAACCGAAGCUUGGGGUGCAUAAAACUUGUUUUAUGCGCGGUAGAGGAGCGUUCCGUAAGCCUGCGAAGGUGGAUUGAGAAGUCUGCUGGAGGUAUCGGAAGUGCGAAUGCUGACAUGAGUAACGAUAAUGCGGGUGAAAAGCCCGCACGCCGAAAGCCCAAGGUUUCCUUGCGCAACGUUAAUCGACGCAGGGUUAGUCGGUCCCUAAGGCGAGGGCGAAAGCCGUAGUCGAUGGGAAGCAGGUUAAUAUUCCUGCACCUCGCGUGAGUGCGAUGGAGGGACGGAGAAGGUUAGGUGUACCGGGCGUUGGUUGUCCCGGGGAAAGGCGGUAGGUUUGGAUCUUUGGCAAAUCCGGGAUCCUUUAAGACCGAGCACCGAGACGAGCCUUUAUGGCGAAGUCACUGAUACCACGCUUCCAGGAAAAGCUCCUAAGCUUCAGCUCACGAAGACCGUACCGUAAACCGACACAGGUGGGUAGGAUGAGAAUUCUCAGGCGCUUGAGAGAACUCGGGUGAAGGAACUAGGCAACAUGGCACCGUAACUUCGGGAGAAGGUGCACCCUUUUUGGUGGCUCAUGCGAGCUAUAGCUGAAGAGGGUCGCAGAAACCAGGCCGCUGCGACUGUUUAUCAAAAACACAGCACUCUGCAAACACGAAAGUGGACGUAUAGGGUGUGACGCCUGCCCGGUGCUGGAAGGUUAAUUGAUGGGGUCAGCCGCAAGGCGAAGCUCUUGAUCGAAGCCCCAGUAAACGGCGGCCGUAACUAUAACGGUCCUAAGGUAGCGAAAUUCCUUGUCGGGUAAGUUCCGACCUGCACGAAUGGCGUAACGACAGCGGCGCUGUCUCCACCCGAGACUCAGUGAAAUUGAAAUCGCUGUGAAGAUGCAGCGUUCCCGUGGCAAGACGGAAAGACCCCGUGAACCUUUACUAUAGCUUUACACUGAACGUUGAGUUCGUCUGUGUAGGAUAGGUGGGAGGCUAUGAAACUGUGGCGCUAGCUGCAGUGGAGCCAUCCUUGAAAUACCACCCUGUCGUGCUUGACGUUCUAACCUAGGUCCGUUAUCCGGAUCAGGGACCGUGUAUGGUGGGUAGUUUGACUGGGGCGGUCUCCUCCUAAAGAGUAACGGAGGAGCACGAAGGUACGCUCAGCGCGGUCGGACAUCGCGCACUGUGUGCAAAGGCAUAAGCGUGCUUGACUGCAAGAUCGACGGAUCAAGCAGGUACGAAAGUAGGUCUUAGUGAUCCGGUGGUUCUGUAUGGAAGGGCCAUCGCUCAACGGAUAAAAGGUACUCCGGGGAUAACAGGCUGAUACCGCCCAAGAGUUCAUAUCGACGGCGGUGUUUGGCACCUCGAUGUCGGCUCAUCACAUCCUGGGGCUGUAGUCGGUCCCAAGGGUAUGGCUGUUCGCCAUUUAAAGUGGUACGCGAGCUGGGUUCAGAACGUCGUGAGACAGUUCGGUCCCUAUCUGCCAUGGGCGUUGGAAGUUUGAGAGGGGCUGCUCCUAGUACGAGAGGACCGGAGUGGACGAACCUCUGGUGUUCCGGUUGUCACGCCAGUGGCAUUGCCGGGUAGCUAUGUUCGGAAGCGAUAACCGCUGAAAGCAUCUAAGCGGGAAGCGCGCCUCAAGAUGAGACUUCCCGGGGCACAAGCCCCCUAAAGGAACCAUGUAGACUACGUGGUUGAUAGGUCAGGUGUGUAAGUACAGCAAUGUAUUGAGCUAACUGAUACUAAUGAUCCGUGCGGCUUGACCAUAUAACCU